GCCCGGGUGGCGGAACAGGCAGACGCGCCGGUCUCAAAAACCGGUGAUGGAAACAUCGUGCGGGUUCGAUCCCCGCCCCGGGCACCA
This 87-nucleotide transfer RNA is filed under the name Actinomycetes bacterium. Its description in RNAcentral is "Actinobacteria bacterium tRNA-Leu". It matches the Rfam family "tRNA". Rfam says of the family: Transfer RNA (tRNA) molecules are approximately 80 nucleotides in length. Lineage: Bacteria; Bacillati; Actinomycetota; Actinomycetes. RNAcentral also lists the same sequence under 3 other names. The record is from RNAcentral.